GACGAACCGUGCGAACGUUAUUCGGAAUCAUUGGGCUUAAAGGGCGCGUAGGCGGGUCGGCACGUCGGUCGCUGAAAUCCCCCGGCUUAACCGGGGACGUGGCACCGAUACGGCCGACCUGGAGGCGAGGAGGGGGACCUGGAACGUCCGGUGGAGCGGUGAAAUGCGUUGAGAUCGGACGGAACGCCGACGGCGAAAGCAAGGUCCUGGACUCGUACUGACGCUGAGGCGCGAAAGCCAGGGGAGCGAACGGG
This 254-nucleotide ribosomal RNA is filed under the name uncultured bacterium. RNAcentral's name for it is "partial 16S ribosomal RNA". It matches the Rfam family "Bacterial small subunit ribosomal RNA", at positions 524 to 776 of the family's 1533-position model. The record is from RNAcentral.